This 211-nucleotide ribosomal RNA is filed under the name uncultured bacterium. Its description in RNAcentral is "partial 16S ribosomal RNA". It matches the Rfam family "Bacterial small subunit ribosomal RNA", at positions 524 to 724 of the family's 1533-position model. The record is from RNAcentral.
UACGUAGGGUGCAAGCGUUGUCCGGAAUUAUUGGGCGUAAAGAGCUCGUAGGCGGUCUGUCGCGUCUGCUGUGAAAAACUCAGGGCUUUAACCCUGAGCUUGCAGUGGGGUACGGGGCAGACUAGAGUGCGGGUAGGGGGAGACUGGAAUUCCUGGUGUAGCGGUGAAAUGCGCAGAUAUCAGGGAGGGAACACCGGUGGGCGAAAGGCGG